AGCCGUUUCUCAGGCUCCCUCUCCGGAAUCGAACCCUGAUUCUCCGUCACCCGUAACUGCCACGGUAGGCCUGUACACUACCGUCGAAAGCUGAUAGGGCAGACAUUUGAAUGAUCUGUCGCCGGCAUAAAGCCAUGCGAUCCGAACAGUUACUAUGACACUCCUUGAAACCGGGCGUAGACCGCAUUGUGUUUCUGAUUAAUAAAUACCACCCUCCCCGCAAGAUUCGGGUCUUUGCACGUGUAUUAUCUCUAAAUUUACUACUGUUAUCCAUGUAAUACGAGAUCUUCUAAUACAUAAU
RNAcentral lists this ribosomal RNA (301 nucleotides) under uncultured eukaryote. RNAcentral's name for it is "partial 18S rRNA". The record is from RNAcentral.